UACGAAGGGGGCUAGCGUUGCUCGGAAUCACUGGGCGUAAAGCGCACGUAGGCGGAUCUUUAAGUCAGGGGUGAAAUCCCAAGGCUCAACCUUGGAACUGCCUUUGAUACUGGGGAUCUCGAGUCCGGAAGAGGUUGGUGGAACUGCGAGUGUAGAGGUGAAAUUCGUAGAUAUUAGGAAGAACACCGGUGGCGAAGGCGGCCCACUGGAUCGGUACUGACGCUGAGGUGCGAAAGCCAGGGGAGCAAACGGG
Molecule: ribosomal RNA, 253 nt
Filed under: uncultured bacterium
Lineage: Bacteria
Description: partial 16S ribosomal RNA
Rfam family: Bacterial small subunit ribosomal RNA
Source: RNAcentral